AGUGAACGCUGGCGGCAGGCCUAACACAUGCAAGUCGAACGGCAGCACAAGAAACCUUUCCCUCUGAGUGUCGCGUGGGGCGGGUGUGUGAGAUGUACAUCAAUCUCCCCAUUUUCGGGGGGUAUCCCGGGGAAACCGGUACGAUAACCGCGCAUACGCUACACGGGAAAGAGCAGGAGCUUCGGACAUUUUGCACGUGUCUGAGCGCCUGCGCCGGUUUAGCUAGUUGGCGGGGUAAAGGCACACCAAGGCGACGAUCCGUAGCUGGUCUGAGAGGAUGAUCAGCCACACUGGAACUGAGACACGGUCCAGACUCCUACGGGAGGCAGCAGUGGGGAAUAUUGGGCAAUGGGCGCAAGCCUGAUCCAGCCAUGCCGCGUGUGUGAAGAAGGCCUUCGGGUUGUAAAGCCCUUUUGUUGGGAAAGAAAAGCAGCCGGUUAAUACCCGGUUGUCCUGACGGUACCCAAAGAAUAAGCACCGGCUAACUUCGUG
RNAcentral lists this ribosomal RNA (492 nucleotides) under uncultured bacterium. RNAcentral describes it as "partial 16S ribosomal RNA". It matches the Rfam family "Bacterial small subunit ribosomal RNA", at positions 29 to 507 of the family's 1533-position model. The record is from RNAcentral.